AUGGGCGAAAGCCUGAUGCAGCGACGCCGCGUGCGGGAUGAAGGCCUUCGGAUCGUAAAGCUCUGUUGCACGGGACGAAAACUGGGUUUGAAAACAUUGAACCUGGGUGACGGUACCGAGCGAGGAAGCCACGGCUAACUACGUGCCAGCAGCCGCGGUAAUACGUAGGUGGCGAGCGUUGUCCGGAAUUAUUGGGCGUAAAGGGAGCGCAGGCGGACAUAUAAGUCCAUCUUAAAAGUGCGGGGCUCAACCCCGUGAGGGGAUGGAAACUGUAUGCCUUGAGUGCAGGAGAGGAAAGCGGAAUUCCCAGUGUAGCGGUGAAAUGCGUAGAUAUUGGGAGGAACACCAGUGGCGAAGGCGGCUUUCUGGACUGUAACUGACGCUGAGGCUCGAAAGCCAGGGGAGCGAACGGGAUUAGAUACCCCGGUAGUCCUGGCCGUAAACGAUGAAUGCUAGGUGUAGGAGGUAUCGACCCCUCCUGUGCCGGAGUUAACGCAAUAAGCAUUCCGCCUGGGGAGUACGGUCGCAAGACUGAAACUCAAAGGAAUUGACGGGGGCCCGCACAAGCGGUGGAGUAUGUGGUUUAAUUCGACGCAACGCGAAGAACCUUACCAGGGCUUGACAUUGAGUGAAAGAGCUAGAGAUAGCUACCUCCCUUCGGGGACACGAAAACAGG
RNAcentral lists this ribosomal RNA (676 nucleotides) under Selenomonas sputigena. RNAcentral's name for it is "bacterial SSU rRNA". It matches the Rfam family "Bacterial small subunit ribosomal RNA", at positions 371 to 1038 of the family's 1533-position model. Lineage: Bacteria; Bacillati; Bacillota; Negativicutes; Selenomonadales; Selenomonadaceae. The record is from RNAcentral.